RNAcentral lists this ribosomal RNA (253 nucleotides) under uncultured bacterium. RNAcentral describes it as "partial 16S ribosomal RNA". It matches the Rfam family "Bacterial small subunit ribosomal RNA", at positions 524 to 776 of the family's 1533-position model. The record is from RNAcentral.
UACGGAGGAUGCAAGCGUUAUCCGGAAUUAUUGGGCGUAAAGAGUCCGUAGGUGGCGAUUCAAGUCUGCUGUUAAAGACCAGAGCUUAACUCGGGAAAAGCGGUGGAAACUGAAAAGCUAGAGUUCGGGAGGGGUAGAGGGAAUUCCAAGUGUAGCGGUGAAAUGCGUAGAGAUUGGGAAGAACACCAGUGGCGAAGGCGCUCUACUGGACCGAAACUGACACUGAGGGAGGAAAGCUAGGGGAGCGAAAGGG